GUCCACGCCGUAAACGAUGAGUGCUAGAUGUCGCGGGUAUUGACCCCUGCGGUGUCGUAGCUAACGCGUUAAGCACUCCGCCUGGGGAGUACGGCCGCAAGGCUAAAACUCAAAGGAAUUGACGGGGGCCCGCACAAGCGGUGGAGCAUGUGGUUUAAUUCGACGCAACGCGCAAGAACCUUACCCGGGCUAGAAAACUAGGAACCUCUCAGAGACGAGGGGUGCCCGCAAGGGACCUAGGUCCAGGUGCUGCAUGGCUGUCGU
This 264-nucleotide ribosomal RNA is filed under the name uncultured bacterium. Its description in RNAcentral is "partial 16S ribosomal RNA". It matches the Rfam family "Bacterial small subunit ribosomal RNA", at positions 793 to 1055 of the family's 1533-position model. The record is from RNAcentral.